This 1091-nucleotide long non-coding RNA is filed under the name Calidris pygmaea (Spoon-billed sandpiper). RNAcentral describes it as "lncRNA (ENSCPGG00000000477.1)". Lineage: Eukaryota; Metazoa; Chordata; Aves; Charadriiformes; Scolopacidae. The record is from RNAcentral.
AAGCGAGGAGCCGGCACUGCUCUAGGUAGUCUCUGUGCUGUGCCAUCCUGCGCUGCGUGAGCAGAUGAGAGCAACGUUCUCCACCGCAUCGGCUGCACCGCCUGGGUCAGAGUCUGUGUUAGCACACGAGUAACCAUUAACCUGCCCUUUGCCUCUGGCUCCCAAAAACAUUGCUGAGCAUUCACUUCUCGUUCUGUAAAUAUCAGUUGUAUUCAAGGAAAUGUCAGUGAGCAACAAGAUAGGGCUCACUAGAAUAGGAGUCACGGAAAGGCAAGGUCGUGGCAACAGACUUCACUCCAAUCUGGGCAAAUAAAGAAACUCUCUCACCGGCUUGAUCUGUGCGAAGUGACCUGCUCGGGGACUGGCAGAGUGAUGGUGUGUCUGCAUUUCAACAUACAGCCCCAGGAACGGGCUGCGGCCACAAAGUGCCUCUGCUCUUCCCACCACCGGGCACACACUUGACAUUUGAGUGGCAUGACCUGCAGGAUUGCCCGCUCUGCACCGGGAAGACCUAUUGAAACGGGCACUCAGCGUCUGCUAGCCCUUGGUCCUUUGGGAUUUUAUUCACAAAGAGUAACUCCUCUCUUCAGUCACAUCCACUUCAGACUCAACACUAGAGGAAUGCAUCAUAAACCUUAUCAACCUAGAAAAUACUGUGAUUUAUCUAUCUGCAGUCACUAGAUUUGCCUGCCCCACGUCAAACUUUGCUAUUCCCCAUCAUCAUCCAUCAUGCAAGAGGGAUGGCCAAGGACACCCUCUUCUUAGCCCCCAAGCCUAAUUCUCUGGCAGCCUAACACUUCACCUUAACUCUUUGCUGUCCGGACAGAAUCCCCUUAGCUCUGAAUUAAAAAGAUGACAGAAGCACUAAAAAGAAGCGUCCUUCGUAACAACUGUGACUUCAGAAUAAGUGCUCUCUUCUUCCCAAUAUUAGCAACACAGAAACACUCUUGCUACUGAGCUCAACCCUGUGUACAGUCUGUGUAUAACCUUUUAAACAGCUUUUGCUGUAAAACACAAGUCUGUGUUUGCUGUAACAGAAGCGUUUCAUUCCUCACAGCAGAAUAAAAGAGUUUGCUGAAAGAAAAAGGGCA